This 468-nucleotide ribosomal RNA is filed under the name uncultured bacterium. RNAcentral describes it as "partial 16S ribosomal RNA". It matches the Rfam family "Bacterial small subunit ribosomal RNA", at positions 28 to 507 of the family's 1533-position model. The record is from RNAcentral.
GACGAACGCUGGCGGCGUGCUUAACACAUGCAAGUCGAGCGGAAAGGCCCUGAGUUUGUUGUGCGGACGUUUGGCGAGGGCGUGAGAGGAACGCGAGGAUCACCUCCCUAUAUGAGUGGUAUCUGCAGGGGAAACCGGAGCUUACAGCGGAUGAGAUCCUGAUGCGUGGUGGUGGAAAGUGAAAGCGGGUGGUGGGGGAUGGUCUCGCUGCUUCUGCGCUGGAUUGGGGGGUUGGGGCUGACCAGGGUUUCGACGGGUACGCGGCAUGAGAGGGUGACCGGCCACAUUGGGACUGAGAUACGGCCCAGACUCCUACGGGAGGCAGCAGUGGGGAAUCUUGCACAAUGGGCGGAAGCCUGAUACAGCAACGCCGCGUGCGGGAUGACGGCCUUCGGGUUGUAAACCUCUGUCGCCUGAGACGAAGCGAGAGUGACGGUAACUGGUAAAGAAGCACCGGCUAACUACGUG